This 494-nucleotide ribosomal RNA is filed under the name uncultured bacterium. RNAcentral describes it as "partial 16S ribosomal RNA". It matches the Rfam family "Bacterial small subunit ribosomal RNA", at positions 28 to 507 of the family's 1533-position model. The record is from RNAcentral.
GACGAACGCUGGCGGCGUGCUUAACACAUGCAAGUCGAACGGAAAGGCCUGCUUUCCCUUGUGGAUUGCGGGUACUCGAGUGGCGAACGGGUGAGUAACACGUGAGUGAUCUGCCCCCAACUUGGGUAUAAGCCUGGGAAACUGGGUCUAAUUCCCGAUAGGACUGCAGGGUGGGGCCUGUGGUGGAAAACGAUUUUCUAGUGGUUGGGGAUGAGCUCGCGGCCUAUCAGCUUGUUGGUGGGGUAAUGGCCUACCAAGGGGGCGACGGGUAGCCGGCCUGAGAGAGUGGACGGCCAGAUUGGGACUGAGAUACGGCCCAGACUCCUACGGGAGGCAGCAGUGGGGAAUAUGGAACAAUGGGCGGAAGCCUGAUGCAGCGACGCCGAGUGGGGGAUGACGGCCUUCGGGUUGUAAACUCCUUUCGACCGCGAGGAAGCCACCUGGUUGGAAGGGUGGUGACGGUAGUGGUAGAAGAAGCACCGGCUAACUACGUG